UUUAUUUAAAUCAAACUUUUAAAUCGUUUUAGACUCUUUCUCUAUAGUAUUUCCAAUUUGGGUUAAAUGGUUAACAUGCAUUUUAAAUGUGAUCAGACUCAACACUGAUUCAUUAUUUGGCUCAAUGGUUCAUUGGUUCACUCACUCACUAUAUAGCCAGAAGCAUUAUCACAGAUCCAGCCUGCAUUUGUCACCAGGAGCAAACUACCAUACAAAGGUAAUGUCCACAUCAGCCUCAUAUCUUUAAGCCAGGAUGAUUCCCCCAUGUAUCAAGCACCUGAUGUUAGCAAUGAGCCAUCAGAACACACCAUUAUUUGUCAUAUGAACACUCUCACACACCCUCUUUUUAUCUCUAUUUGUCCAAGUCUGCAUGUAUCUUUCACUUCUGAUCAGCAAACAAGAUAAAAAAGGAUUAUGUGAAAAGCAAUUUCUUCUGAAGGAGCUAUCUGGGAAAAUUCAUGGAAGAGGUGGAGUUUGAACUGACCCAUGAAUAUGAAAUUCUCUAAUUUCUACCUUUAUGUACCUUUGCUUUGCUUGUAUCUUGUCUCUCCGCUUCUGGCUUUGUACUUAUCAAUUCAAGCUUGAAUUUGACCUGUCAGCUUUCUCUAUACAGAAUGUUAGUCACUUUGACCUAAACCUGGUGAUUUAAUUCUUAGCUCUUGCCUACCUGCACAUGCUGGGUUGUCUUUUAGUUAGAAAAAGAAAUAGGAAAUCAUACACUCAUGUAAACUAUGUAAUUGAGCAUAUGCAAUGCUAUAGAGUAAGGAGAGGGAGGACAGUGGCAUUUUCUCCUCAUUUUCUGUUCCUAGUCCCUGCAACAAAUGAUCUCUUGAUACAGGUCUUCUACUCCUUAAGAUAGACAAGAUUGAUGAAAGACUGGAAAUGACUUUGCCUGGACCAUGAUUCAGCGACAGUGUCCCUCUGGCAAGACUAUUGGCCAGGAAAACAAAACAAAACUUCUGGAAUGCCUCUUCAUCUGUCCUAACAGUAACAUCGGAAGCCUCUUCCACCUGAAUUAUGAAGAUGUCAAGUAUUCUCAGCCUCAAAUUAAUGUAUCAAGUACAUUGCAUUUGUGUCUUUGUGUUCUUUCCUAGCUUCUUAAAAAACUGUGCUAAUUAUGUUUUCAAAAAUUGUUGUUUUUCUAACAUAUUGGUUACAAUAUCAAUAUAUGUGACUUAAUAAAAUAGUCUCUGAGAACAUGUGCUUUUCUGUAUGUGUUAGGUAUCAGCUUGCUUUUAACAGUAUUGUAAGUUUUUAUAAUCAUAUUUAAAUUGUGUUUAUCUAAAAUAUUUAUGAACAUUGAAUUUAUGGUGAACAAAGAAUUCUUUCAAAUUGCAUGUGGUUAUGUUUCAAA
Chlorocebus sabaeus (green monkey) is the source of this 1354-nucleotide non-coding RNA. Lineage: Eukaryota; Metazoa; Chordata; Mammalia; Primates; Cercopithecidae. The record is from RefSeq and is a predicted model, not a curated record.